CCUCUGCCCUGAAGCUCUUCAACCAUGUCCUGAAACAGAUUUGCUACCACAGUCACAUCUGCUUCCUCAGUGCUUGCCUCCGCAACCAACUAAUCCCACUACAUUCAGACCAGCACAGUUUGGAUCCGAACAAGACAACUAGUACAGACUACAAAUUCAAAACCACCAGCAAUGGUUCUCCUUCAGGAUCCUCCACUCCACACUCGCAGCCAUGCGCCGCCACCUAACCUCUCUACAGUCAGCUAUGCCUCAACUGAGGGCCUCACUUUUUCAGACUACAAAGGACGCCUUCUGUACGACAUCCAAAGAAGAAUUCAUACUCUCAACAAACAGUAUUUCUACACCGUCUCAAACAUCAAAAAUUAGUUGUAGCAUGUU
Chiloscyllium plagiosum (whitespotted bambooshark) is the source of this 378-nucleotide non-coding RNA. The record is from RefSeq and is a predicted model, not a curated record. Lineage: Eukaryota; Metazoa; Chordata; Chondrichthyes; Orectolobiformes; Hemiscylliidae.